Molecule: long non-coding RNA, 12280 nt
Organism: Alligator mississippiensis (American alligator)
Lineage: Eukaryota; Metazoa; Chordata; Crocodylia; Alligatoridae
Exons: 4
Source: RefSeq, a predicted model, not a curated record
GAUGGAGUCAUGGGUGGUUUGUCCAGGGCUGCAGGGGGGCGUGGCUCCCCACUGCUGUGUGCACCCCCAGGGGAGGCAUGGGGAGCACUGCCUUGUUUCUUUUUGGUGUUAAUGACAUCAUCUUUUGCAGAAGAAGCACAUGUGGCUUUUUUUGUUGGGUGGGGUUUUUCUUGAGAUCAAAAUACCUAACCAUGGUUUAUCCACAGGUAGACAUCAAACCAUUUCAGUGUCUCUUGAGGUGAUAUAGCAGACUCAAGAAUUUUAUUCCUAACAGAUUGGAUGUUAAUGUGAUUUAGUCAAUAGGAGUAUGUGAUCAUUAAUAUUUCUUCCUUCUUGAAGAGCAAAAAGUGACUAAAGUGCAUUUCACAGGCCAAAUUUUGGCCACACGUACCACAUGAACUUAGAUGGACUACUGCAUGCUGGGCUUGUGCUGUUCACAAGCUUAGCUGAAUGCUAAAUAGAAAUCUACUUGAGGGGCUUGUUGGGUUGUUUUCUGUAGAUUAGUUGCAGGUCACAAGCAGCUGGCAAGUAGCUAAAAAGUGCUUCAUUAGAGUGGGUUGUCACUAAGUUACCCUUGUUAGAAUACACCAUGAAUCAGUUUAUUUUGGUCAGUCCUACACAUGAUUAUGGUGCAAGGACAGUAAUAAAUGUAUUUAAGCUUUUGAAAAGUGCUUUCCUUACAAAACCUAUUCAUAGUGUAGAAUUUAGGAUUAAUUCUGGAGUAGUACGUUAACCUUUGAAACUGAAUUUUUCCUGUGUUUCUUAGUAGCUUGAAAAAAAUCAAAGUUAAUUGACACUUGAUAUUUAUUAUUGCAAUUUUGAUGCAAUUUUUAUCCAACCUCUAGGUCAUACACAUCUACUGAAGAAAACUAAGCCAGUGGCCACUGUGGAUAAUGUACAAGUGACAGACCUAGUGGCAAAACUGAUGUGGAUAUAGGAACAGCUGCUGAAAGUGCCGUUACUACGCAAGUUCUUCAAGCUCCUUUUCUUCAGGAAGCAACGGAUCACAGUACAGAUUUCCUCUCACUCCUGCAGAGUCUCCCGAGUUACUCCCUGAAGGGAUUUUGCUCUUCAGUCGUUUUCACCAAAAAAAACAGACAAAGCCAGUUGCAGGCCAUGGUCCAAGGAGGGAAGGCUGCAUCAAGGAAGUCACCCAAUGGCUUCAACAGUGGUGUCACCAGGAGGGCUUCAGUUUUCUCAACCACAGCGCACACUUCUGGGAUAAAGGAUUUCUCGGAAGGGACAGCAUUCACCUCGCAUGAAGAGGUUUCCAAGAAGAUGCCCGACGUCCCCCAGUACUGGACUCACCAACCUGGCCGUCUCUGCUGUCGCCUUUCUCUGGCUUCUCGGGUAAGUCUGUCUUGGCUUCUCAGGUAAGUCUCAUGCCCCCGCUGCUAUCUGUUUGUGUUAUCAUCCAGAUCCUGCUUUCUCACAUCUGGGUGUCUCUGUCCCAUUCUUUGCUCACUGCCUCCCUCCUCCCUCCCUGGGCUCAUUGACAAUGUUUCUUGUCACUCCCUCGGAGCUCUGUGAUGGAUCAGGCUUGUUGUCCCAUCACACUCUGUACCUCUCCAGGUCCAGCUAUUGAUCUAUCUGCAUUCAAUUAAGGAAGCUUCUUUCUCCUUACUAAUCUGGCUAUCAGCAAUGCAGGCAGUGAAGCAAAGGAGAGAUCGUCUUAGUUCACUUGGGAAGACACCAGAUAACCCAUACAACCUAAGAACUGCAAUUGGAGGAAAAGUCCAGUUCAGCCCUCUGUGGACUUUGGAACAUAUUCGGUGCAGUUGAAACCUUCAGGGAGUUGUACUGUAAAACUCUAGCAAAUCUCUACUGAGCAUAUAGAACCGAACUCUUCAAAGACUUUUUCGUAGUCAAAUCCAGGUAGGUAUUUAUUGAGAUAAUGGAAGAUGCAUCAUUUCUAAGCAUGCCAAAUUUCAAGUCCCUGCUCCAGCAGAGCUUCUUAAAUAAGAAAGCCAUGUAGAUGAAAUGAGACAUGUGUGCAUGACACUUUAAAGCAGGUUAAGUGCUUUUGCACUGCUUUAAUGGUGUCGGUGUUUGCACGCCUCAGCGGCGUAUUGCGCAUUGAUUCCAGCCGCUGCAGGAAAUUCGGCAGCACAAUGCACCUUAAAUGACUCGAGGAUUUUUAGUUAAGGAGUUUUACUUUGCUGCCCCUACAGCUGUGGAGUGAAGCACCAAGCUCCAUGCAGCUCUGUGGCUCUGCAGGAAACCCUGCAGGCAGCCUGGCAUGCAGGCAGCCUGCAGCCUGGCAGCAGCCCAGGAAAGCAGGCUCUGCCCAAGAAAAGCAGGGAGCCUGAUCUUUUUUUUUCCCUGCUGGAGCCUGCCUGCCUGUCUGAGCUGCACAGGGGCCUGGUGCUUCCCUUUGUGGUUGCAGUCCCCCCUGGGACCACCUGAACCAGGUGCCUGCAGGUGGGUGCUGCCUGGUGAGGGGGCUGCCACUGCCAUGGAGGGAAGCACCAGGCCCUGCAGCCCAGGGACUGCUCUGCCUGCCAGCAGCUUGCCCUCCCCUCCCUGCCAGAGAGGCAGGGAAGCCACUGGGGUGUGUGCACGACACGGUUUAAUUAGCCCUAAACUGAAGCAGUGUUUUUUAAAACCCACUACUUCAAUUUAGGGCCCCUGUUUUGUCUAUACCAGCCCAAAGUUUCCAUUUAAAAAAAAAAAAAAAAGAGCAAAGAAAAUAUUUUUCCAUUGCCUGUUUGUUGGGAAUUAUUUUGAUUUAUGCUGGCCAUUAAAAAAAAAAAAAAAUCAGUCUGAGGCAGACAAAUGGCAUGGAAAAUUUCCAAUUGAAUGUUUGAUAAACAUAGAGGGAACUGAAAAUUAGCAUCUUAUGGAAAGUUUUGGAUAACCAUAAUAGGAUCUUGUAUUACUAGCCUUGCCUAUAAUGUCAGCAGUAUUGGGAAGCAAUUCCUGACUUUUAUGCCUUUUGGAUGAUGACUAGUUUAAUUAUACCUUUUUAAUAAAUCACUCUCAGGUAACUGACACAAAUGACCAGGACAAUGACAUUUAUUGAGCAUAUCUGAGCUGCAGAUAGUGAAACAUGGUUGACGGUUACAUAGGUAAUAGAAGAGAAAAUGUGCAUAUGCAUGGAUUGUGUUUAAACUGCAUUUGAGAGAGUACUUUUUGGACUCAGCACUCCAGCAUAUUUUAUUUGCUCUGACCUUUGCUGAGGUUUCAGAUGAUUUGACUAACCACCUUCUGCUAACAGUGUCAUUAGGCAUUUUGGAGAGGUUUCCAUUUGAAUAACAAGAUGUGAAAGGUAUGUGGAAUGUCUUAAAUUCUGCAAACACUUUCAUGGAAUAUUAACACCAUGACCUUUUUCAUUCACAGGUGAUAACUAAAGAAAUUUCACUAUAGAUUCUACAGUACAACUUCAGUUUGAUUUGAUUCUUUUUUUUGUUCUAAAAAAAGAACCUAAAAACAUAGCUCAGUCUUUAAGGUUAAGGUAGUCCUCUCCAUGGUUUUAUAAAUUGUUGGAUUUGGGAGUGGAGGGGGAGGUUACUGGAAUGUGAAUACUAGCUCUGCACAACUUUAGGAGAGAACCAGAAGUAGAAAUAUUUGGCUUUCUAUACACAACCCCUUCCAUUUCCAGUCUUAGUGUGAACCAAAUAACCCAUGUGAAACACCAGAGAGCAUAGUUAUUCUCCUUUUACUUUCCACAACUUCCCUUCAAAUAAAAAUGAAAAGAAUAAUUUAUUGUAAUGAUAAAAUGUAAGAUUCUGCCCUCAGGUACAAGCAUGAAACCCACAAGUCAAUGAGCUCUUGUGACAGUGAGGGCAGCUUUUUGGCUCCAGGGUAUAUCAUCACAGUAGGCAAGGCAGUGACUUCCACUUACCCAUAUUGAGGAUUCUGAGACUCAGGUUUUUGUUUGAUCUACUGUAAAGGAAGGAUCUAGUUAGGAAAUGUGGGUCCAGCUUUGGAUUUCGGAGAAGUAUCAGAGUUCUGGUUCAGGAGUCUCUAUCUCUCUCUCUCUCGUACCCUGAAUAUCCUUCAGUUUGGAAUCAUCAUCACUCAUAAGUUGAAUAUUAACUUUGGUUGCAAUACCAUCCAGAAGCCUCUGCUGGGCCUUAGCUCCUACAACUUCCACGGUAAGCCAUUGGGGCUGACUAAGGUACAUUGACAUGCGAAACUCCACCUAGGGCAGUAGUUGCCAACCAGCAGAUCACGAGUGACUGGUCGAUCAUGAAGCCUCUGACAGUUAAUCUUCGUCUCAGUCCCCUAUCUCGGGGGUUUUUCUAGCUAAAGUUGGGCGUACAACAGGGAUGGGCAAAAUGGCCGAUCCGACUAGCAGCUGGACUCCAUUUCCCAGCAGCCCCUGCCUUCAUGGCUUGGGCUGGUCUCCAUGGAGACCCCAACCACACCUGCACAGGAAAGCUCAGGCUGGGGUUGCUGUAGAGACUAGCCUGAGCUGCUCUGGCUGUGCAGGGGGCUGCCCUGGAGCUGCUGGGAACUUGGGAUGGGGGGAGCUUGCUCCGGAGCCAGGGCAGAGCUGCGAGCUGUAGCUUGCAUUCUCCAGGCAGGGUGUUCAGGCAGGAGAUUGCAGCUCUGCUCCAGCUCCUUGCAGUGGUGACAGCCUGGUCUGGAGCAAGCAGAUAGUGUGAUACUUGUGACUGCACAUCAAGGCUCGGUAAAUAGGGACAACAUAUAACUAUGUAUAUUAAGCACUUGAUCUCAGUUUUAUAUAGCAAAUAUAUAAACUGUUAUUUCUAUAUUUUUAUUUGAGGUAGAUCCUGUGUUGAACUUUAAUUUAAAAAGUGAUUUUUGUGCUUAAAAAGGUUGGAGACCACUGACCUAGGGGAUGGUCAUCCCCUGCCCCCCACCCUGUUGUCAGUGUUACACAAGGGCAGAAUGGGUUCCCAAGUGUCCAGGCAGCAGUGCAGUUGGAAAUGAAAAGCCUGGGGAACCAAAGCAGCAUGGGCAUUUAUAGACGUGCUCUGGGACGCAGCGGGAGGGGUGCUUUAAUUAGCACAACUCCAAGAGCCACGCUAGCACCCAGAGCAUCAAGUGUAUCGGCAUCCCCACACUGAAACAUGGCAGUGAAGUGCUUUGAACUAAAGCUCAUCAAACGAGCUUUAAAAUGCCCUGCCACCACUUUUCAGUGUGGGGAUGCUGAUACACAUGAUGCUGGAGUCUGCUGGAGCAUGGUACUUACUAUGCUCCAGCAGACUCGAUUAAUUGAGUCUGCUCCAAUGCACUGUUAUUACAACACAUCGGAACAGCCUCCCUGUACAUGUAUAAGAAUCCCACGUGCCCAAGAAGUGAGCCUGGGGUCCAGUGAACAGGAGCAAAAGCAGGGAGAGAUGCUCAGUGGGAGGAGAGGUGGUGUGACAGAAGGUGGAAUCUGUUUCCAGUCCUGUCAAGCCCUGGCAAUAUGAAUCAGGAUGGUUUACACGCUUCUUAGUUUUAAAUAUUUACAAAAGUGGUCUUUACAACAGCAAGCUAUGCUUAACUAUAAGCAGAGCAGCUUCCCUGUUUUAAUGAGGUAGGGAGACUAUAAGGAAGGGUUGUGAGGAUUACUGGGUAUCUGGAUUAAAGUAUUUCUCUGGAUUUGAGAUGUUUAAGAUGACUUUAAAUUUCACUCUGACAUUCAGGCUUUGAAUAAAGGAGGAAAGUUCUAUAUUGCUGUAUUCUGUUUUAAGCUUUUUCAGACAGCCUGGAGAGGAAUGUCAACUCAGAAAGCAAACACAACAGCCCUGGGAGCAGGGCAAAAACUCAGUUUUCUCACAGAAUAAAUAGUAAAGGGCUCACGGCUUUUCCAUCUCCUUGGGGUAUAGGGUUAUAUUUCCUGCUAGCAUAAAUUGGUAUAAUGUCAGCAGGUCCUAAUUCCAAGUUUGCUUUUCUUUCUUCUCUAUAGCAAUUUAGCAGCAAUAGCAGCUCAGCAGGCUAACAGUCUCACAGGGCAAACUGCAAGAAUUUUAACUGGCCUGUUCAAUCCUCCACUCUCAGGAGCAGGUCCCCCAUGGGCUGUGCAACAAACAAGUGGGAAAAUACUUUUUUUUGAACAAAGAGUUUAAAAUAUACUAGGUCCCUGCCUCGGUUCACAAAAGAUGCCCCGUCCAUGCUCAGGACAUGUGUAUGGUCUUAUAAAACUGCUGGUUAACAAUAGAUGAGACCAAACUGCAGGAUUUUGAGGCUUUGAUCCUGUUUGUUCUUGUGCAGAACUUCAGGUUGCGCUAUGGUGCAGACAAAGCUUGAAUGUGUGCUUAGUAGGACUGAGUGAAACAUAAGAUAAACUGCAAUACAUGCAGAACCCGUGCAUUCCAGUUAAUAUUGUACCAACCCUGAAGCCCCAGAAACUGGCACAAGAAACAAAGGGGAGUUCCCACUUCUCUAUCGAAAAUCAUAGGGGUAGGGUCACAAGCCAACCAACCAAAGGGAGAGAACAGCUAAAAGAUAAUGACCAUCAACACUGUGGUAAUAUAUACUUAGCACCUUAAUUCCCAACCCCCCCCCCCCCCCCCAGCUCCUCUGGAGGUGUCCUCAAACAAGCCUUUAGAACCUAGAGUGCUCAAACAGCUGUGUGCCGCUGCUCCCAAGUCUGAGCCCACAGUCCUGGCUGACUGAGCCGGUGAGAUCUACAUCUCCACUGUGCACCCCUCUGUGUGGGGAUGACCAGGCUCCACAUGCAUGCUACUUUCCCUUCUCCUUACUCCAGCCUCAAGCUGUGUCUUCCAUUUCCCCUUGCCCCCAGCCCCUGGAGUUCCUGGGAGCUGAAGUCCAAAUUGGGAGUCCGUGGAGUUGUGCUGACUGCUCCCUGAUUCCACCUGCUGUUACAUGUUACAUUUACAUUAGAAUACCUCCACCAUUAGCUGUCAAGACCUUUAUGGCACUUUCCAUAUGCUCGGGGGGGUGGGGAGGACAGUACUUUAAUUAGUAAUUAAUUGCUCCAAGAGCCACUCUAAUUAAAGUGCCUAAGCAUCCCUGCACUUCAAAUGUGGGGCUGAGGGGCUUGAACUGAAGCUCGUUCAACAAGCUUCAGUUCAAAUGUCUCCACUGCUGUUUUGAAGCAUGGGGAUGCUGACACAUGAGAAAUGGGAGGUUGCUUGAGUGUGGUAAUUACCAUGCUCCAGCAGACUGUAAUAGUGUAUCAGAGCAGCCUCCACACUUUUGUACAGGUACACUUUAGUUUGUAUCCACCAGACCAGGGACAGCGGAGAGCACUGAACUUUACUAAUGGUGCUUUGCUAUGCGUAAUGCAGUGGGAAAGCAAGCUGAGUUCUCCCAGUCUGUCUGCUGGGAGGGGGCUUGGGGCCCACAAAACCCUGAAGCAGGACAAAGGAGCCUUCAACAAAAUCAAAUGUAAAAUGGGCCCUGCAAACUAAUCAUCGUGCUCCUGUGGCAAAGGAAAUCAGACAGUGGCAGUGCAGCAUAUUAGGGCUGUGCGAAGUUUCGCUGGCUGUUUCAUUUCAACUCAUUUCAAGCUUGAAACAGUGAAAUCAAAACAAAGCAAAAGGCUUUGAAACAGCUUUGAAAUGAAACAAGGGCAGUCAAAAUGUUUUGAAAUGUUUCGAGUUUUGAAGCUAGGCUUGCUUGCAGCUAAAGAGAAACUAAGGAGAGGGAGGAGGAAGAGUGGGGAAGGACUGCUCUCAUUGACUAUGUAGCUGGCCAGUGACUGUGAUCCUUCCCUGAGGUCACUUCCAAUCUCAGUGCUCUGGGGAAGGGAUGGAAAAACAGGAUAAAAAGGAUUGUUUGAGCUGAGCUUUCUCUGUGCCUUCACACUUACAAGUGGCACAAGUUUUGCUUUGAACAGUUUGAGGUGCAGUUUCCCAGAAACCCCUACACCCAUCUCCUUGAAACUUGACAGGUUUCAUGGCCUCAGCAGGGGCUACCAUCCCUGCAGUUUUCACCUUGCUGCACCUUAACACACACACAGUCACCCAUCAUGAGUUUUGUUUGUCAGCAGCCUGAGGUGCAGUUUCCCAGAAACCCUUGCACCUAUUUCCUUGAAUGCUGGAAAGCUUUAUGGCCUCAGAAGGGGCUACCAUCUCUGCAAGUUUCAAGUUUCAGCAGCCAUGCUAAGAACUCUCAGAGAAGCUGGACCUUCUGAAACUUACUCUCUCUCUUGAAACUCAUGGUCAAUGAACUGCUUGCCUCCAGAGGAAAUCUCCACUGGCCUCUGGAUGAUACUUGGGAGUAAGCUAUUUGAGAUCUAACUAGAUAUAUAGCUUGCAGUAGCACAGAUGUGUAAGCAAAGGCUACCAUGACACUGUUUGCUCUAACGGAUUUCUCUCAUAUAGCUCUACCCUAUUCCAAACCUACUCCUUGUAACCAAUAAAGCUCUCCUUUGUACCUAGCAUGGGAGACUUAUUGGGAGAGGGUCUAGAUAAUGCCUUGGGGUCCCCUUGGUUCAGCUAACUAAGGGAGACCACUAUUUGCGCUUCAGACUGAGGGAAUAACCCAAGUUCUUGCAGUGAGUCAAGUACCCUCAAGGGCUACUAGGCCUAUGUUUCCCAGAGGGCACAGGUCCAAGAUCAGUCCAGGCUCUUGGUGGUGGCGGCGUUACCCCCAGGCUUGCAGGUGUGCUCCAGGAAGGGGGUUGGCUGGACAUAAAGUGCCCCCAGGGAGGCACUCGGAGCCUGGAAGGUGGUCAGGUGCAGUGAGAUGGGUGGCUCGAUGCAGGAGCACCCCCUACCGGCCCGCCACACAGCAUAUACUGACUGCCAUCUAUAUGGUCCACCAGAGGGAACAAACCGUCAGAAAGAUUGCAGUAAUAUUGAUGGAUCUACUCUUAAAAGGUUGGAGGAGUCAACUUAAUGAAGUCCUCCAAGAAGAAGAAGGACAAGGGAACAGAGGGGGGAAUAGGCCUUUUGAAAGGUUCAUAGAGAAAACAAAGGGAGAAGUAGCACAAAGUGUUGGGCAAGAAAGGGAAAGAAAUCAACCUGGAGGUUGGGAGGGAGAUGUGAUUUAGCUGUGCAAUAGACCAGGGAGAACUGAGCUGGAAGGACUUUAUGAUGGAGAAGGCAAGCCAUGAGCUACAUGGAAGGCUUCUGGAUCACCCAACAGAAACUGGCACUAUCCAAAUAAAAUAGUGAGGAUAAUGUGGUUUUUCAUUCUUGCCUAGAACUGUGUGUUUCUCAUGCUGUUAGUUAAAGAGCAGUGGUAGUUUUAGGACCCUUGUGCAAAGCCUGGCUGUGCUCACUUACCCUGAGUCUCUGAAGAGUUUCAACUGUGACUCACAGAUAGAGAAUUACGAAAUUUAGCUGUCCUUUAAUUGGGUAUCUUAUCUCAAAGAGAGUUUGCAUUCUCACUCCUUUGGCCGACUCAGUUUCCCAAUCAAAAGAGGGAAGAAAAAUCCCAUCCAUUUUCCCAUCACUUUUUAACCUCGCCAGAGUACCUUUUUGAAAAAAAUGCAAGGAUGGGAAAUAAAAAGAAAGUUUGUUCAUUUUAGGGGAAAUGCGGCAUUGUUUUGUCAUAGACAAGCCAACAUUUCAAACAAAUUGAAAACUGUCUGUUCUGUUCCUCCCUGCCCCCUCCCCCCCCCCCAAAAAAAGAAGUGAAAAACAAAAAACUUCAACCAAGUCUAGGAAUACGCAGUAGUAAUAGGAAACAUACUGUAAACAAAGACAUAAGGUCUUUAUUAAACAAGGAUGCUGGUCUUUAAAUGCAGAGGCUAAAGCGUGAGAGUAAGAGUGUCUAAGGAGGUGCAGCCUUAUGGGAAGCUUCUUCAGGGCAAGGCCCAUAACUAGAAAGUCCCUUCUUAAAUGUACUUUUGGUACUCUUGCUAUUCCUACCUAGUAGCAAGAGUACAUCUUGGGAGUAAUGAGUGUUCUGUUCUCAUUAAUGCAGUACUGGUCUCUUUUUUUUUUUUUUACUCCCCUCCCCGCAACCUUUUUUUAAAACUUUUCAAUUAAACACAACACAAUACAUCUGUGCUGUGCAUGGUCAGUCCAGAGUCAGCAGUGCAGAGUAAACAGGUUUUAGAAUCCAGCUUACACACAGUAGUUAAGAGGGUUCUUUAUAUAUAAAUAUGAUAUUUAGUAUUGGAAAUAACCUUUGCCCAUAGCAGUGCUAGGACAGGGUGACAUCUUUUUUUUUUUAUUGUUUUACUGAGUUACGACAUGUUGUCAAAUAACAAUGGAGGGACUAAGACAGAAAGACAAGGCUAACAUCUGAGAAAAUUUGUUUUACACCAAAGUAUCAAGAAUAUUUAUAUAUGUAUAACAUAGACAUAAAUAAUGUUUUUUAUUAAAAUAUAAAAUCAUAUAUGUAUAAUGUGUAUGCUCUAUAUAUAUAUACUGGGUGAGAAAAGGAAAGGAGAGAUGGAAAUUGUAUCAUUCUGAAAACAGUAUAGAGAAAGGAAUGUGUUUUAAGAGAAAAAUUAAGCCUAUAUUUUGAAGGCAUUUAGACAUGCAACUUCCAUUGGUUGUCAGCGGGAAAUGCGGUACUAGAACUUUUCUGGAUUUGUCCCUUUGUUGAUGGAACUACUAGGAAUCCCAGGAUUAAGUAUUUGCUAAGCCUUCACAGUGUCAGGAUGCUAACUGUAAUUUUUGAAAUGCAACUAGGCUAAGGGGAAGAUUGGAUAUGGCAGUAAGUCCUUCCUUGUCUAUGUGACAAGGUAUUUAGGAGAAUUCAGAGAUUCAUUGGAAUUUGACAGCCACACUGUGGGCACUUCUGCUCUGGUCUCAAACGUGCAACCUCUGGGCUGUUAAUUGUGUGCUUUAGUAGGUACACCACCCCAUGGUAGUGGGGGAAGAGGAGAAUGAACGCGACAAUCAUAAUUCUUUUCUCAGUGAAAUCAAUCUAUGUUUCAUGUUUAGUAAAUGUCCCUCUGUUUAAAUUGAAUGGAUUUCCUGGAAUGUUUUACAUAUAAAUAAAGUUUGGCUGGCAUUUCCAUGUACCAGUAAGCAAAAUGUUUCAGAGACAGAAGCUGUUGGGAAUUUUUGGAUAGAUUGGGGAUAUUUUGCUGUAAAAUACUAAGCCCUAGAAAUUGAAGCUUUUUGUGGGAACAUGUUGAUUUCAGCAAAGCUUCCGGAACUGAGGAAACUUCCAAACAUAAAGAAACUUUUAUCAAUACUAAAGCUUCAUGGGGGAAAAAAACCCCUAGAAGAGAUAUUUGAAAGGAAAAGAUAUUCUCAGUAAGCAAUGGAGUAUGAAUCUGAGAAUUCAGUUGCAAUCUUUGCUCUGCCAUGUCUUCAUGAUCUUGGGUAAGUCUUCAAAAAAUUCCCCCCCUAAAUAUGAAUUCUUUUUGAUUUUUGGGUGACCAGUUAUGGGCACUGAGACAUGAACUGCUCAAGCCUUUCAGAUGGAGCCCAGAAUUUCUCAUGGUGCAUAAUUAGGAAUAGGGAGAGACAAAAAAAUAAUGGUCACAAUUUUUGAAAAUGUAGGCCUAACCCCCCCCCCCCCCCCCCAACACACACCUCUACCUGAAAGGACUUACAAAAGACAAUGAAGAUACAGUAGGAGACGCACCUAAAGCCCUCCAGACAAGGGUGAUAAGAAUGAAGCACUCCCCUGGUCUAAUUUACAUCGCAGAUGGAACCAGAUGGCAACUCAUUUACAUGGGAGAUGGGACAGAAAAGCACCUUCAUUAGCGUUCAGGAUGGAGAACAGAGAUUCCAAGGUAAAGACCACACUGAACUUUGGGACCAGAGAAGCAAAGGGGCACUGCAUGAUGGGGGAUCUCUUCUCCAAAUGCUAAUCAACCCACAGCUGCACACACCCAGCUCAGCAUUUAUCAGACCAAUUCUAGUAAUGACUCCUUUAUUGGUAUCCAAAACACUGAAUCUGCCUGUCUGUAUUGUGAGCUCCCUCAGAGUAAUGCCACCCAUAGCCAGGAGUGAUCAGUUCCUAUUAUCCAGCAUAUGAGCCAUUAUUUACCCAUAAACAAACCUAGUGUUCUCCCUUGAGCCAUUGUUAGUUCUCUACAAAAACACCUACCCAAGCUCAAGUUUCUGUCCCGGUGCUUGGAUCCAAAAGCUGCACCAGUUCCACUCCUUUUCUGCCUGGAAUCCCUCCACUGACUGUGCUGAGGACUCUGCCUGUCUGCAAGCUCCAACAAACACCUGGGAACCCUGACUGGUUCAAGCUUUGCUGAGUGGUGAGACCCCAACUCUUUCUCUGUCUCUAUGACUCCAGGAACCUGACUUGCUUUCUUACUCCAGGCACAGCUUUCUAAACCUGAAUUUUUCUGAUCAAACUUGAGUUAAACUUCCCCAAAUACCUAAUUGAAACGAUGUAAUAUUGUAACUUUUAUUUGUCUCUCUUGUAUGGCUAUUACUACUGGUAUCAUUGUAAGUUUAUAUACCUGGCAAUAAAUAACUUUUAUGGUCAA